Long non-coding RNA from Homo sapiens (human), 1319 nucleotides. Ensembl annotates it as long intergenic non-protein coding RNA 1497. The record is from Ensembl. Lineage: Eukaryota; Metazoa; Chordata; Mammalia; Primates; Hominidae.
GCGUGAGUUCCUUCUGCCAAGCAGAGCAGCACAGCUGCAAGACACCCUGCUUCUGGCUCUGAGCUUUGCUUGUCUUCAGGGAUGGAGCCCCUCCCAAGGCAAGUUCAACUGGGUUCUUUGGCAGCCGAAGUCUACACGGACCCUGCAGGGAGCGGUGGAGAAAAGUUAGAUGUCUGAAGUGUUUUUCAUUGGACCAAAAUCAAGGUGUUGGCUGGGCUACCUUCCCUUCUGGAGACUCUAAGGAAGAAUCCAUUUCCUUGUCUUUUCCAGAUCCUAGAGGCUACCUGCAUUCCUUGGCUUUUAUCCCCAAUCUUCCAUCUUCGGAGCCAGCAACACACCUUUUUCUUCCUUCCAUGAUAUAGAUAUAUUGAUCAUGAGGAGAGGGCUCACCCCUCACCCGGAGAAGUAGUUGGGGAAGCAAUAUGCGGAAACAAAGCCAUGAAUCUGACAAGAAAUGUACUUAAGGUAAAGGGAAGCCAAAUAUAAGUAAAGUACUAACAAGGCCAAUUACGUUCAGGUGCAUGGAUGAUUAAUCAUAAAAUUCACAACGGAGGACACUCUGUGGGGAAAAGACCAUGUGAGGACACAGUGAGAAGGAGACCAUAUGCAAAGCAGGAAGGAAGAUCUCACUGGAACCAAAAACCAGCCCUGCUGGCACCCUGAUCUUGGACUUCUAGCCUUUCUCAGAACUCCAUCUUUUCUAGGGGUCUCAGCUUCUCAGCUGUUCAUCUACACACAAAGGCCCCAAAACAUCGUGUGCCUCCCACAGAUGGAAGAAGAUGGGAAAUCAAAUACUGUCCAAGGAAGGAAAAAAGAUUAAUAAUGAAUUGGUAUCCCAAGAGUCACACAAAUAUCAAAUCAAGAGGGACUAAUUCCCUGAGCAGGAAGCUAACCUAAGCCACAAUGGGAAUUGUAACCAACAGACUACAAAAUGGAGCAGUGUCCACUGUGAACGUUGCAUGGAAUCCAAAGUGGCCUGUGUGCCCACUUUGAUGACUUGUUGUACUAGCGCCUUUGAUCUCCAUCAUAGAAAAUGCUCUGCUCCAUUUCAAAAGAGAUUGUCAUAUAUGCCAUUUGCCAUUCACUGGCCUUUGGAUCAAACCAACAACAGACCUCACAGAUAGAAUUCCACCAAUGACCAUUCACAAAGAGACUGUCUCUCUUGCUCCUGCUCUGGCCAUGAGAUGUGCCUGUUUCAACUUUACCUUCAGCCUUGAGUAAAAGCUCCCAGAGGCCUCACCAGAAGCUGAGCAGAUGCCAAUGCCAUGCUUGUACAGCCUGCAGAACUGUGAGCAAAUUAAAACUCUUUUCUUUGUAAA